This 1017-nucleotide ribosomal RNA is filed under the name Ralstonia sp. RNAcentral's name for it is "bacterial SSU rRNA". It matches the Rfam family "Bacterial small subunit ribosomal RNA", at positions 22 to 1027 of the family's 1533-position model. The record is from RNAcentral. Lineage: Bacteria; Pseudomonadati; Pseudomonadota; Betaproteobacteria; Burkholderiales; Burkholderiaceae.
GCUCAGAUUGAACGCUGCGGCAUGCCUUACACAUGCAAGUCGAACGGCAGCAUGAUCUAGCUUGCUAGAUUGAUGGCGAGUGGCGAACGGGUGAGUAAUACAUCGGAACGUGCCCUGUAGUGGGGGAUAACUAGUCGAAAGAUUAGCUAAUACCGCAUACGACCUGAGGGUGAAAGUGGGGGACCGCAAGGCCUCAUGCUAUAGGAGCGGCCGAUGUCUGAUUAGCUAGUUGGUGGGGUAAAGGCCCACCAAGGCGACGAUCAGUAGCUGGUCUGAGAGGACGAUCAGCCACACUGGGACUGAGACACGGCCCAGACUCCUACGGGAGGCAGCAGUGGGGAAUUUUGGACAAUGGGCGAAAGCCUGAUCCAGCAAUGCCGCGUGUGUGAAGAAGGCCUUCGGGUUGUAAAGCACUUUUGUCCGGAAAGAAAUGGCUCUGGUUAAUACCUGGGGUCGAUGACGGUACCGGAAGAAUAAGGACCGGCUAACUACGUGCCAGCAGCCGCGGUAAUACGUAGGGUCCAAGCGUUAAUCGGAAUUACUGGGCGUAAAGCGUGCGCAGGCGGUUGUGCAAGACCGAUGUGAAAUCCCCGAGCUUAACUUGGGAAUUGCAUUGGUGACUGCACGGCUAGAGUGUGUCAGAGGGGGGUAGAAUUCCACGUGUAGCAGUGAAAUGCGUAGAGAUGUGGAGGAAUACCGAUGGCGAAGGCAGCCCCCUGGGAUAACACUGACGCUCAUGCACGAAAGCGUGGGGAGCAAACAGGAUUAGAUACCCUGGUAGUCCACGCCCUAAACGAUGUCAACUAGUUGUUGGGGAUUCAUUUCCUUAGUAACGUAGCUAACGCGUGAAGUUGACCGCCUGGGGAGUACGGUCGCAAGAUUAAAACUCAAAGGAAUUGACGGGGACCCGCACAAGCGGUGGAUGAUGUGGAUUAAUUCGAUGCAACGCGAAAAACCUUACCUACCCUUGACAUGCCACUAACGAAGCAGAGAUGCAUUAGGUGCUCGAAAGAGAAA